This 253-nucleotide ribosomal RNA is filed under the name uncultured bacterium. Its description in RNAcentral is "partial 16S ribosomal RNA". It matches the Rfam family "Bacterial small subunit ribosomal RNA", at positions 524 to 776 of the family's 1533-position model. The record is from RNAcentral.
UACGUAGGGUGCAAGCGUUAUCCGGAAUUAUUGGGCGUAAAGAGCUCGUAGGCGGUUUGUCGCGUCUGCUGUGAAAACUGGAGGCUCAACCUCCAGCCUGCAGUGGGUACGGGCAAACUAGAGUGCGGUAGGGGAGAUUGGAAUUCCUGGUGUAGCGGUGGAAUGCGCAGAUAUCAGGAAGAACACCCGUGGCGAAAGCGGCUCUCUGGAACGGUACUGACGCUGAGACGCGAAAGCGUGGGGAGCGAACAGG